UGGGGAAUAUUGCACAAUGGGCGCAAGCCUGAUGCAGCAACGCCGCGUGAACGAUGAAGGUCUUCGGAUCGUAAAGUUCUGUUGCAGGGGAAGAUAAUGACGGUACCCUGUGAGGAAGCCCCGGCUAACUACGUGCCAGCAGCCGCGGUAAUACGUAGGGGGCUAGCGUUAUCCGGAUUUACUGGGCGUAAAGGGUGCGUAGGUGGUUUAGAAAGUCUGAUGUGAAAGCCCACGGCUCAACCGUGGAGGGUCAUUGGAAACUAAUAAACUUGAGUGCAGGAGAGAAAAGUGGAAUUCCUAGUGUAGCGAUGAAAUGCGUAGAGAUUAGGAGGAACACCGGUGGCGAAAGCGGCUUUUUGGCCUGCAACUGACACUGAGGCGCGAAAGCGUGGGGAGCAAACAGG
RNAcentral lists this ribosomal RNA (404 nucleotides) under Verrucomicrobiota bacterium. RNAcentral describes it as "Verrucomicrobia bacterium partial 16S ribosomal RNA". It matches the Rfam family "Bacterial small subunit ribosomal RNA", at positions 355 to 776 of the family's 1533-position model. Lineage: Bacteria; Pseudomonadati; Verrucomicrobiota. The record is from RNAcentral.